This 4069-nucleotide long non-coding RNA is filed under the name Mytilus galloprovincialis (Mediterranean mussel). Lineage: Eukaryota; Metazoa; Mollusca; Bivalvia; Mytilida; Mytilidae. The record is from RNAcentral.
GAGAACCUAAGCAUCGGAACUUAGCCAAUGUCAUGCUUGUAGAACUUGUAAGAGAUAUUAAAAUGUAGUUUUAAACGUCAUUUAGUUUCCAGGCAGAACAUUAAAAAAAAAGAAGGAAAGAAAACUGAUGCCAUAAUGAUUGUGGUUUAACCAUGCGUGGCAAGUGUCUUAUGCAAGUUUAUAAUGCUAUGUCCUUAGCAAAGUCAAACACAAGAUCCUGUUUAUUUGAUAACUUGUUAUUUUGCCAUUCAUUUAGUUAUAUAUCGUCUUUCUGAAUACACUAGUGUAAUGUGAUAUAUUAUCCACCAAUAGAUUGGCUACCUAGAAUAGGAGGACAAUAAUUUACAGGUGUUCAACAGGUUUGGGACAGAGAUUUUCAUGUUAUCAGAAUUUAUGGUUAUUACAUCAACAUUAGGUUUUAACAAAUUUUUGAUUUCAGUAUAUUUUGCUGAUAUUGUGUUUAUAGAGCAUUAAUUAUGGAAAUGGCUACAUUUUGACAAUGGACGUCUGAAAUCACUUUGUCUAGCGUAGCAGUUUUAGCUAGGUUAUUUCUUGAAUCAAGUCUUCUUCUAAAUUCUUCUUUCAAAUACCGGAGUAGACUCCUAGGUAGGAGUGUAAAACUUUGUCUUUUCACCAGAAUAGAUUGUGGAUUUAAUAAUAAGAAUAAGAAUAAGAAUUUUAUUAGUCUAAAAUCCAAACAAUAGGAUUGUUAUAUAUAUAAUUACUAAAAUACAAAACAAACAAACAAACAGACAGGCAUAUUAAUUACAAAAUGAUAGACAUUAAACACUACAAACAUGUAGCAUUGAAAGAAAUACAAAAAAUAUAGAUUAUUAAUAUUAAUUAUACUAUUUUUGACAGCAUGCCUCCUCUUUAAAAGUAUCAAUUCAAAUAUUAUAUGCUUAUAUAUAACAUUAUAAGUUGAGCCAUCAAUUACACAGUUCAUAUAUUAACAUUAUAAGUUGAGCCAUCAAUUACACAGUUCAUAUAUUAACAUUAUAAUUGUUUCUCUGAAUUUAAUACGCCUUAAUGACACAAUUUACCAGAUAAAAGGUGGGCCUGUAUCCCUGCACAUUUAAAGUUGCAUGCACUUUCAGAAUCGUUAAUCUGCAGACUAGACUAGAAAUAAUUGAUUCUCUGUAACACAAUCAUUCUAGAUAUUGAUUAAAUUAUAUACAAAUUUUGAUAGAUGAAUGUAAUUAAUUGGAAAUUCUUUUCAUCUAAACAAGGAUUUUUUAUGUGAAAGAGAACUUGUUAUUUCUACAAUUUAAAAAAAAAAAAAUCAUGACAGAUCAUUUUUUGGUAUUUUAAAUAGUCUUUUUUUUCAACUUUGCUCCAAAAGAGAGAUAACCUUACUUAUAAAAAGGUGUUAAGUGAAUGUUCCCUUAUCUUUGUUAACACGGAAUAAGUCGAAUCCGGGUCCGUUCGCGCCCAUUCACGUUAGCACCAACUCAUGUUCGCCCUCUUUCACGUUCGCACCCUACAUGUUCGUGCCAAAAUUUAAUUGGUUUUGUGUUUAAUAACUUUGUAAUCAAGUUUUGGCAAGUAUAUUCUUAUAAGUAUAAUUGUUGUCAUUGUCUCAAAAUAAAGUGAAACAGCAUUUUUUUUUGUGUUGAAUCAUGAUGUUUUGGAUAGUGUUUAUUGUUAAAAAAAAAUGAUAAUCCUUUCUUAAUAAAGUGGGAUUCUGUCACAGUUUUAUUUUGUGUUGAAUAACGAGUACUCUUAAUCAUGCUUUGGUUAGUGUAUUGCACAUAGUAGUCUCAGAUUGCUAUAACUAUUACUUUGUUUCAUUGACUUGUUUCAAAAUAAAGUGAGAUUCUGACUAGUUUUUUUUUGUGUGUUGAAUAAAUUUUAUCAAGUUUUGGUUAUAAUAGUGUAUUUCUAUAUUUUAUUGUUUCAUUGUCAAAGGGACCAAGCUGUGUGUUUUUCAUUGUUAAAAAAUCUUCAAUGUUUUACUCAUACCAAGCUAUAAAUACAUUUAGUAUUUACACCAAAGCGAUUUAAAACAAUCUUAUUUUCCAAUUAUUCAACUGGAAUUGAAUAAAUUGGGCGCUGAACGUGUAGAGUGCGACGGACCUUGGGUGCAGGUGCGAACGUGUAGGGUGCGAAAGUGUAUUGGGCGCUAACGGACCUGAUACCGAACAAGUCCUGACUCCAGUGACUCCGAUUUUUUUUUAAUUUUCUAAAAUUAGCCCUAAGAACCACAAUGUACACUUUAUUAUAUUUUUGAUAAAGCAUGAUAUAAACUUCAUUUUGGCCAAGGAUUUGGCAAUUCUUGCUUUGGUAAAUUAUUAGAUAUUCUAUUCAUUUAAUUGUUCUCCUUGAAAAUAAUUUAGGUUGUCCCUAAAUGUAAAAAUAGUAAGUUAUAUUUUCAUUAUUUUUGCAUCAGAUGAUAGAACUGAAUCGUAAAAAAGCUUCUACCAUUCAAGUUUCUUAAAAUUCUAUGUAGGUAACUGACAAAGUAAUUGAAAAGUUGAUGUAGAAACAUUAACCCUAUACUAACUAUUUUAUUGAUAAAAAAUUUGGAUUUUUAAACAAAUUAUUUGUUGAUAAAGUUAAGCUUAUAUUUUUUAUAUCUAAAGUUUAGCAUGUAAAGUGGGUCUCAUUGGGGUCUAAGCGUGAUGCGGGAUUGCUGAUUUUUUGUAAGCGUGACACGUGAAAGUCAAAUUAUUGUGCCGUGAAAACGGGAAAUGAAGUCUAGCGGGACACGGGAAAUUACAAAAAAUGAUAAUUGCUUACAUAUAUAGUGUAAGCAGGAUACGGGAAUCUGACAUAACAGUAAGCGGGAUCCGGGAUCAGAACCUCCCAAUGAGACCCCCUGUUAAGCUACUACCCACAUUUUUUUAGUAACAAAAUGAUUUUUGAAGAUAUAAAUGAUCAAUUUUAAAUAAAGGCAAAAAAAUAAAAUGGCUAGCUAACAAGGUCAAAAGCAUGAUAAAGUCAACAAAUGUACAUGUAUGCAUGUAUAAAUAUAAGCACAUCAAUUAAAACAGACAAAUUGUUAAAUUAGAAGUAAACAUAAUAUCAAUAAUCCUAUAAUGUAGUUAUUUUGUAUGAUACACUCAUUUAAAUGUUUUGAAAGGUAAAUUCCUAAAUGCCUAAGUUUCUCAAUUAUUGGUUUACACAUAAUUUUUUCACAAAUAUUUUUUUUCAUUAUAAAAAAAUAAUGAACAACGUUAUCUGUAGAUGAACGCCAGUGAAGUUGUCAAAACUCUUUAAUUAUCGAAUGUCAUGUGUACACAAGUUUGCCAAUGUUGGUCGUCCAUUUUGCCCUCGCUUUGCAUGAUGUGUAAAUACGCAGUCACGUCUGGUCAGAAUGGGGACAUUUAAUCCAAUGCCUAGUUGAAGAGAGAAUGUCACUCUUCAUGCUCUUUGAGGAGUUCGUAGUUAGUCUACUGAAAGGCAAAAUUUCUGCUCCUAUCCAAGUAAUCUAUCAUUUUCCAAUUCAUGCCAUUUUCAAAUUUCCAGACCUUCGUUCCAUACGGCACCUAUUACAGGACCUAGCUACCUCUUGCAUUUGUUGUAAAAAAAAAAUUUGUCCUGAAUUUGCAUAAAUAUUUGACACUGGAUUUUUAAAAAUCAAUCAAUCAACUAGCUUACAGUAAGGGGAGGGGGUGUCUUUGCCCCCCUGAACCCCCUACCAGGGCUCUGCCCUGGACCUGAUGGGGCCUUCUAUGGCCCCCUGACCCCCUGCCGAUUUGUGCCUAGAGGUGACUGAAUACCUAGCUACGCCCAUGUAUGUACAUGUAUUAUAAAACUUUUGGUUCAUUAUCUUCAGUUUCUCUUCACAGAGGUUGAUGCAUUAUUAACUUUCGUCUACUUCAUUUUAGGAGUGAGCACAAGCUAACAAUGGAUGCUGACAGAGUCCUGCAGAGUCUUGGGAAUUAUGGUCGUUUCCAGAUCUUAGUGUUCCUUUGUCUGUGCUUUAUCUACAUGAGGGGAGCAUGGCCUGUCCUGGGAAGUAUAUUCCUAGGAGGAGUACCAGAUUAUUCUUGUAAAAAGCUUGCUGAUGUAAAUAAAACUGUUACUUAUGGAGCUUGCGAUGUCACUGUUAGUAUUGAUGGACAGA